Molecule: long non-coding RNA, 96 nt
Organism: Etheostoma spectabile (orangethroat darter)
Lineage: Eukaryota; Metazoa; Chordata; Actinopteri; Perciformes; Percidae
Exons: 4
Source: RefSeq, a predicted model, not a curated record
CAAGAGGAAAGAUGCAGCCGGAAGAGGAAGAGGAGGAUGGAGCCAUGUAAAGGGGAGGCCUGGUCCGGACUCCCACAAGCCCCGGCGUCCUAGGAC